AUGAUUAAAGCCAACAAGAAAGUCAGAAUUAUCAAUAAAUAUGGGACCCACUAUGGUGCCUCCCUCCAGAAAAUGGUGAAGAAAAUUAUAAUUCACCAGCAUGCCGAGGACACUUGCUCCUUCUGUGGCAAAAUCCGGAUAAAGAGACAAGCUGUGGGGACCUGGUGCUGUGGGGAUCUGGCACUGUGGCUCCUGGAUGGAAAUGGUAGCUGGUGGUGCCUGGACCUAUAACACCACUUCCACCAUCACAGUAAAGUUGCCAUCAGAAGACUGAAGGAGUUGGAAGACCAGCAG
This 294-nucleotide long non-coding RNA is filed under the name Homo sapiens (human). Its description in RNAcentral is "non-protein coding lnc-LRRC66-1:1". The record is from RNAcentral. Lineage: Eukaryota; Metazoa; Chordata; Mammalia; Primates; Hominidae.